Molecule: long non-coding RNA, 1808 nt
Organism: Gorilla gorilla gorilla (western lowland gorilla)
Lineage: Eukaryota; Metazoa; Chordata; Mammalia; Primates; Hominidae
Exons: 4
Source: RefSeq, a predicted model, not a curated record
UUAAAUUGCUGGGUCCCUGGGAAGAGGCUUAGGGCUCCAUCCCAUUGGGCCGUGGCCUGGAGCGUAGACAACAGCCCAGACAGGCUGGAGGGGAAGGGGGUUCUCAAGGAGAAGAGCUAUUGUCUAACCACCCAGAGCACAGCCUUGUGUACAUAAGGACCACACUUAAGCAGUGUGGAAACAGGUUGGAGGCAUCUAGGCCUGAUGAGUCCUUGGCAGCCUCUUAGAAUCCUUAUACCCUAGUAUGGGGUUCGGAAAGAGCCAAGAAUUCUUGUACUCCCCAAAAAGAGUCUGGCGGUGUUCAUGAGGGCUGGUGACCUGGAAAAGGCAUUCUGAUUGGGAUGACAAGGAUGCAGAGUCUAGAGCUGACAGCAGGGUGUGAUUGCUGAAACACAAGAAAGAGAGAAGAACUUUGCCCCCUUCUCCCAGUGCCAGCAGCCCAGAGGUAGCAGGAUCCUGAUGAAGAUGGGUAAUGUGCCAACAUCAUAACAAGGUUCAAGGGAGGCACAUCUCAUACGAGUGUGAAAAGGCAAACAUCAUGCUUGUGAACUACAAGAUUAUCCUAUGUAUUUAUUUUCAAUUAUUUUAUCCUCCUCUGCCUCUUGCCCUGGACUAUAUAAGACCUGCAAUAUAAUGUUGAAUAAGGAAGGUGAAACCAAACAUCAUUGCAUCACUCCUGAUAUCAAAGGUGACAAAACUGAGGCUCAGAGGCCAAUGGCCUUGUUCAAGGUCACACGCCCACUAAAUGAGAGACCCGGAGACCUGGCAUCACACGCAUCCCUUGAAUGUUUAUGAAACACCUAUCAUAUGCCAGACCUUGUGCCAAGUGCUCAGGAUGCAAGAGAUAAAGAUUUGAGAAAUGCAUUGUGUGACUAAGGUGACAAAGAAACAACAGCAAUUCACUGGGCUAAGUGGUUUGUACAACAACCAGGAGAGAGCAGAUUAAUUCUGUCUAGGAGCUCAGGAUGGCACUUGAACCAGACCUUGAAAAAUGUGCACAGGAUUUCGCCAUCAGAGAAACAAGGUGAGGACAUGUUAAGCAGAGAGGACUUUGAACCAAAGCUCUGAAGCACAGAGGUCUAUGAUCUAUCAGUGGCAGUAGGUGAGGCUAGAGAAAGCUGGGACCAGAUUGGAAGAGGCCAGGCAGACUACCUGAAGGGGCUGGAUCUUACAUGAGAACAUUGGGAAGCCCCUAAAAUUCUGUAAGCAGGGAGGUGACAUGGCUAGAUGUGCUUUUCAGAAAGGCUUCCUGGGGCAUGAAGAAUGGACUGGACUGGAGGGGGAGGAAGGAGUGGGGUAACAAUAGAGGGGAAUAAUUCAGAAGACAGAAGAGGCCCAAAUUAGGCAACUGGCUCAGGGAAGAAAAGGUUUGGACUUGGUGAAAUGGAGCUGUGUGAAAAAAAGGAGUAGGAGCUGACUUGGGUGUCUGGUUCAGGAAAGAAGGAGGGUGGUGAUGUCAUUAACCUGGAGAAGGAACAAACUCAGCACAAAUGAUUCCCAGCUGUGCCUACUCUCAAACACAGAAAAGCCAGAAAUAGGCUUGGCCCUGUGACCAGCAAGAGGGUCCCCUAUGAUCAGAUGAGAUUAAGGGACUAAUAUCCUCAACUGACUUUAAGGUUGAAAGAAAAAAGGACCUCCCUUAAGUCCCUAUGUGUUUUGGAGGACCCUAAGAAAAAUGGGGGUGAAUAAUUGUUUAGGAAAAUAUAAACAUAAAGACUGUAUUAUUUUAUAACUACCUUACAACUAUAACUACAUUGCAUAAUAUAAAGUGGUAAAAUUAUAAAUGUUCUAGUGUUUAAAAAUUAAUG